GGCUGGAUAGCUCAGUUGGUAGAGCAGAGGACUGAAAAUCCUUGUGUCGGUGGUUCAAUUCCGCCUCUAGCCAC
RNAcentral lists this transfer RNA (74 nucleotides) under Candidatus Portiera aleyrodidarum (primary endosymbiont of Bemisia tabaci). Its description in RNAcentral is "tRNA-Phe(gaa)". It matches the Rfam family "tRNA". Rfam says of the family: Transfer RNA (tRNA) molecules are approximately 80 nucleotides in length. The record is from RNAcentral. Lineage: Bacteria; Pseudomonadati; Pseudomonadota; Gammaproteobacteria; Johnevansiales (SeqCode); Johnevansiaceae (SeqCode).